UGCUGCAUGGCUGUCGUCAGCUCGUGCCGUGAGGUGUUAGGUUAAGUCCUGCAACGAGCGCAACCCUCGUCGCUAGUUAUUUUCUCUAGCGAUACUGCCCGUAUAACGUGGAGGAAGGUGGGGAUGACGUCAAGUCAGCAUGGCCCUUACAUCCUGGGCUACACACACGCUACAAUGGGUGAUACAACAGGUUGCAAUAGAGCGAUCUGGAGCCAAUCCAAAAAAUCCGGUCUCAGUUCGGAUUGCAGGCUGCAAUUCGCCUGCAUGAAGUCGGAAUCGCUAGUAAUCGCGAAUCAGCAGGUCGCGGUGAAUACGUUCCCGGGCCUU
This 327-nucleotide ribosomal RNA is filed under the name uncultured Chloroflexota bacterium. RNAcentral's name for it is "bacterial SSU rRNA". It matches the Rfam family "Bacterial small subunit ribosomal RNA", at positions 1039 to 1382 of the family's 1533-position model. Lineage: Bacteria; Bacillati; Chloroflexota. The record is from RNAcentral.